This 251-nucleotide ribosomal RNA is filed under the name uncultured prokaryote. Its description in RNAcentral is "partial 16S ribosomal RNA". It matches the Rfam family "Bacterial small subunit ribosomal RNA", at positions 525 to 775 of the family's 1533-position model. The record is from RNAcentral.
ACGUAGGGGGCAAGCGUUGUCCGGAAUGAUUGGGCGUAAAGGGCGCGUAGGCGGCCUGGUAAGUCUGGAGUGAAAGUCCUGCUUUUAAGGUGGGAAUUGCUUUGGAUACUGUCGGGCUUGAGUGCAGGAGAGGUAAGUGGAAUUCCCGGUGUAGCGGUGAAAUGCGUAGAGAUCGGGAGGAACACCAGUGGCGAAGGCGACUUACUGGACUGUAACUGACGCUGAGGCGCGAAAGUGUGGGGAGCAAACAG